GUUGAAGAUGAAAUGUGUCUGGGAAAGAGCUGGGACUGUAGCACUCAGCCCAGUGGCUGAGUCUAGCCCAGUACAGGUCCAGAGGCCCUGUGAAAACCCCAGAAUAUCUAUAAAGUGGGCUUGGACAUUCUCAAGAGGAAGGUUUCAAGGCUGGAUGGGACUAUAAAUGCAGAUGAUGGUAAGCAGUUGGCUCUAGUAUUUCAAUUUGGAGUCCUAGAUUAAACAGGAUUCAUUUGAUAACAGAAAUGAAGGAUGAAAUACAAGAAGUACAAAUAUUUAACAUUCAGGAGAGAACACCAGGUUGAUACCAGUCACAUUUCCUGUCUGGACCUUCAUGCUGUAAAUCAUGGUUGUAUGAAAAAUGAUAGUUGCAGUGUCAGUGGUAAGUCUUGAGAUUGGGACAUUAUUGAUACACAAGAAUCUGAAAAUUCUGCUUUGUAAUU
Grammomys surdaster is the source of this 443-nucleotide long non-coding RNA. RefSeq lists it as uncharacterized. The transcript has 3 exons. The record is from RefSeq and is a predicted model, not a curated record. Lineage: Eukaryota; Metazoa; Chordata; Mammalia; Rodentia; Muridae.